This 202-nucleotide long non-coding RNA is filed under the name Lathyrus oleraceus (garden pea). RNAcentral's name for it is "Pisum sativum (pea) long non-coding RNA (PSAT_LNC014844)". The record is from RNAcentral. Lineage: Eukaryota; Viridiplantae; Streptophyta; Magnoliopsida; Fabales; Fabaceae.
UUCGAGCUUGCUAUCAUGCUUCGUUUCACCUGCAUUAGUUUCUUUCACAACAUAUUUUAAUCAUGGUGAUAAUGUCAACCUUGACCAAAAAGGUUGGUAAGGAUAUUUUGGGCGAUUGGGUGGAUCCAGACAUAUUGGAGAUUGUUUAAGCUUUUGUUCGUGAAGAUCUUUUUAAGCAAAAUUUGAUUGAUAUGGGUCCUGC